Molecule: ribosomal RNA, 301 nt
Filed under: uncultured bacterium
Lineage: Bacteria
Description: partial 16S ribosomal RNA
Rfam family: Archaeal small subunit ribosomal RNA
Source: RNAcentral
CAGCCGCCGCGGUAAUACCAGCAGCCCAAGUGGUGGUCGCGAUUAUUGGGCCUAAAGCGCUCGUAGCCGGGCCGGUAAGUCCCUUGUGAAAUCGGACGGCCUAACCGUUCGGCGUGCAAGGGAUACUGUCGGUCUUGAGGCCGGGAGACGUCCGAGGUACUCCGGGGGUAGCGGUGAAAUGUUCUGAUCCUCGGGGGACCACCGGUGGCGAAGGCGUUCGACGAGAACGGGCCUGACGGUGAGGGGCGAAGGCUAGGGGAGCAAACGGGAUUAGAUACCCCCGUAGUCCCUGUCUCUUAUA